AUGCUAGCGUUAUACGUAGAUCUUUCUGCAAUUAGCGUAGUAUGUGCUAGUUUGACUGAAUAUCAGUAUGCGAUUAUAUGUGUCAAUGCCAUGCUAGUGAUUUACUCAUGGAUUAAUUUAAUCGAGAAAUUGCCUAUUUACUCAACAAUCCAAAAACCUAUUCUGUGUAGGAAUUUUUCGGCAAGUGGCUUUGCCGCUGCACUGAAACCGGAUAAGUUUACCGGUACAUACUUUAAGCGUUGGCAGACUAAGACCACGUUAUGGCUCACGGCUAUGAACGUGUUCUGGGUCACCGGUGUCUCCACGGGAACGAUUGCUCCUGAACAGGAGAAGGCGUUCAAGGAGGCUACCGUUGUGUUUCUCGGAGCAGUUCUUAGCGUGAUCGGAGACAAACUGGUCGACGCAUAUUUACAUGUGCAUGUCGCCAAGGACUUGUGGGAGGCGCUCGAAUCUAAGUUCGGGGCAGCCGAUGCCGGAAGCGAGAUGUAUAUUAUAGAGCAGUUCCAUGAUUACAAGAUGGUUGAAAACCGUCCUGUAUUGGAGCAGGCUCAUGAGAUAAUAUGCAUUGUUAAGGAGCUUGAACUUCUUAAGUGCGAGUUGCCGGGCAAGUUUGUCGCGGGCUGCAUAAUCGCUAAGCUCCCUAAUUCCUGGAGGAACUUUACCACCACUCUGAAACAUCAGAGGCGUGAAUUCUUUAUGGAGGAUGUCAUUGGCCAUCUGAGUGUUGAGCAGAAUUCAAGGGCAAAGGACUCGCACGGAAAAGGGGCCGAAGGGACUUCUGUCGCCAACAUGGUGAACCAAAAGAACUUCAACUCCCACAAGCCCAAGGAAAAGAACGGUGUCCAACACAAUACCGACUUUAAGAAGAAGGGUAAGAAGACCUUCAAGAAGAACAAGAAGGACGAGGGCUGCUUUACUUGUGGUUCGGUUGAACAUUGGGCCAACAAGUGCCCAAACAAGUACAAGAAGUGA
Molecule: ribosomal RNA, 972 nt
Filed under: Triticum aestivum (bread wheat)
Lineage: Eukaryota; Viridiplantae; Streptophyta; Magnoliopsida; Poales; Poaceae
Description: partial small subunit ribosomal RNA
Source: RNAcentral